CCUACGGGUGGCAGCAGUGGGGAAUAUUGGGCAAUGGAGGAAACUCUGACCCAGCAACGCCGCGUGAAUGAUGAAGGCCUUCGGAUUGUAAAGUUCUUUUCUAAGGGAAGAAGAAAGUGACGGUACCUUAGGAAUAAGCCUCUGCUAACUACGAGCCAGCAGCCGCGGUAAUACGUAGGAGGCGAUCGUUAUCCGGAAUGACUGGGCGUAAAGGGUGCGUAGGUGGUUUGGCAAGUUAGUAGCGAAACGCCGAGGCUCAACCUUGGAACUACUACUAAAACUGUUGGACUUGAGUGCAGGAGGGGCAAGCGGAAUGUCUAGUGUAGCGGUGGAAUGCGUAGAUAUUAGAAGGAACACCAGUGGCGAAGGCAGGUUGCUAGACUGUAACUGACACUGAGGCACGAAAGCGUGGGGAGCAAACAGGAUUAGAUACCCGGGUAGUC
This 443-nucleotide ribosomal RNA is filed under the name uncultured bacterium. RNAcentral's name for it is "partial 16S ribosomal RNA". It matches the Rfam family "Bacterial small subunit ribosomal RNA", at positions 338 to 795 of the family's 1533-position model. The record is from RNAcentral.